RNAcentral lists this ribosomal RNA (433 nucleotides) under uncultured bacterium. RNAcentral describes it as "partial 16S ribosomal RNA". It matches the Rfam family "Bacterial small subunit ribosomal RNA", at positions 29 to 507 of the family's 1533-position model. The record is from RNAcentral.
AGCGAACGCUGGCGGCAGGCUUAACACAUGCAAGUCGAGCGGGCCCUUCGGGGUCAGCGGCGGACGGGUGAGUAACGCGUGGGAACGUGCCUUCUGGUCUGGAAUAACCCUGGGAAACUAGGGCUAAUACCGGAUACGCCCUUUUGGGGAAAGGUUUACUGCCGGAAGAUCGGCCCGCGUCUGAUUAGCUGGUUGGUGGGGUAACGGCCUACCAAGGCGUCGAUCAGUAGCUGGUCUGAGAGGAAGAGCAGCCACACUGGGACUGAGACACGGCCCAGACUCCUACGGGAGGCAGCAGAGGGGAAUGUUGGACAAUGGGCGCAAGGCUGAUCCAGCCAUGCCGCGUGAGUGAUGAAGGCGUUAGGGUUGUAAAGCUCGUUUAUCCGGGACGAUAAUGACGGUACCGGAAGAAUAAGCCCCGGCUAACUUCGUG